RNAcentral lists this ribosomal RNA (495 nucleotides) under uncultured bacterium. Its description in RNAcentral is "partial 16S ribosomal RNA". It matches the Rfam family "Bacterial small subunit ribosomal RNA", at positions 28 to 507 of the family's 1533-position model. The record is from RNAcentral.
GACGAACGCUGGCGGCGUGCCUAAUACAUGCAAGUAGAACGCUGAAGGAGGAGCUUGCUCUUCUGGAUGAGUUGCGAACGGGUGAGUAACGCGUAGGUAACCUGCCUGGUAGCGGGGGAUAACUAUUGGAAACGAUAGCUAAUACCGCAUAAGAGUAGAUGUUGCAUGACAUUUACUUAAAAGGUGCAAUUGCAUCACUACCAGAUGGACCUGCGGUGUAUUAGCUAGUUGGUGGGGUAACGGCUUACCAAGGCGACGAUACAUAGCAGACCUGAGAGGGUGGUCGGCCACACUGGGACUGAGACACGGCCCAGAGUCCUACGGGAGGCAGCAGGAGGGAAUCGUCGGGCAUGGACGGAAGUCUGACCGAGCAACGCCGCGUGAGUGAAGAAGGUUUUCGGAUCGUAAAGCUCUGUUGUAAGAGAAGAACGAGUGUGAGAGUGGAAAGUUCACACUGUGACGGUAUCUGACCAGAAAGGGACGGCUAACUACGUG